RNAcentral lists this ribosomal RNA (2248 nucleotides) under Listeria monocytogenes. Its description in RNAcentral is "bacterial LSU rRNA". It matches the Rfam family "Bacterial large subunit ribosomal RNA", at positions 408 to 2654 of the family's 2925-position model. Lineage: Bacteria; Bacillati; Bacillota; Bacilli; Caryophanales; Listeriaceae. The record is from RNAcentral.
CUGAGUACGGCGGAACACGUGAAAUUCCGUCGGAAUCCGGGAGGACCAUCUCCCAAGGCUAAAUACUCCCUAGUGACCGAUAGUGAACCAGUACCGUGAGGGAAAGGUGAAAAGCACCCCGGAAGGGGAGUGAAACAGUUCCUGAAACCGUGUGCCUACAAGUAGUUAGAGCCCGUUAAUGGGUGAUAGCGUGCCUUUUGUAGAAUGAACCGGCGAGUUACGAUUUGUUGCAAGGUUAAGCGGAAAAAGCGGAGCCGUAGCGAAAGCGAGUCUGAAUAGGGCGCAUAAGUAACAGGUCGUAGACCCGAAACCAGGUGAUCUACCCAUGUCCAGGAUGAAGGUAAGGUAAUACUUACUGGAGGUCCGAACCCACGCACGUUGAAAAGUGCGGGGAUGAGGUGUGGGUAGCGGAGAAAUUCCAAUCGAACUUGGAGAUAGCUGGUUCUCUCCGAAAUAGCUUUAGGGCUAGCCUCGAGGUAAAGAGUCAUGGAGGUAGAGCACUGUUUGGACUAGGGGCCCUUCUCGGGUUACCGAAUUCAGAUAAACUCCGAAUGCCAUGUACUUAUACUCGGGAGUCAGACUGCGAGUGAUAAGAUCCGUAGUCGAAAGGGAAACAGCCCAGACCACCAGUUAAGGUCCCCAAAUAUAUGUUAAGUGGAAAAGGAUGUGGGGUUGCUUAGACAACCAGGAUGUUGGCUUAGAAGCAGCCACCAUUGAAAGAGUGCGUAAUAGCUCACUGGUCGAGUGACCCCGCGCCGAAAAUGUACCGGGGCUAAACAUAUUACCGAAACUGUGGAUGAACCUCUUUAGAGGUUCGUGGUAGGAGAGCGUUCUAAGGGCGGUGAAGUCAGACCGGAAGGACUGGUGGAGCGCUUAGAAGUGAGAAUGCCGGUAUGAGUAGCGAAAGAAGGGUGAGAAUCCCUUCCACCGAAUAUCUAAGGUUUCCUGAGGAAGGCUCGUCCGCUCAGGGUUAGUCGGGACCUAAGCCGAGGCCGAUAGGCGUAGGCGAUGGACAACAGGUAGAGAUUCCUGUACCAGUGCUAAUUGUUUAACCGAUGGGGUGACACAGAAGGAUAGGGAAUCGCACGAAUGGAAAUGUGCGUCCAAGCAGUGAGUGUGAGAAGUAGGCAAAUCCGCUUCUCGCGAAGCAUGAGCUGUGAUGGGGAAGGAAAUUAAGUACGGAAGUUCCUGAUUUCACGCUGUCAAGAAAAGCCUCUAGGAAGAGUAGUACUGCCCGUACCGCAAACCGACACAGGUAGAUGAGGAGAGAAUCCUAAGGUGAGCGAGAGAACUCUCGUUAAGGAACUCGGCAAAAUGACCCCGUAACUUCGGGAGAAGGGGUGCUCUAUUAGGGUGCAAGCCCGAGAGAGCCGCAGUGAAUAGGCCCAGGCGACUGUUUAGCAAAAACACAGGUCUCUGCAAAACCGUAAGGUGACGUAUAGGGGCUGACGCCUGCCCGGUGCUGGAAGGUUAAGAGGAGUGCUUAGCUUCGGCGAAGGUACGAAUUGAAGCCCCAGUAAACGGCGGCCGUAACUAUAACGGUCCUAAGGUAGCGAAAUUCCUUGUCGGGUAAGUUCCGACCCGCACGAAAGGCGCAACGAUCUGGGCACUGUCUCAACGAGAGACUCGGUGAAAUUAUAGUACCUGUGAAGAUGCAGGUUACCCGCGACAGGACGGAAAGACCCCGUGGAGCUUUACUGCAACCUGAUAUGGAAUGUUUGUACCGCUUGUACAGGAUAGGUAGGAGCCGAAGAGACGUGUGCGCUAGCAUACGAGGAGGCAAUGGUGGGAUACUACCCUGGCUGUAUGACCAUUCUAACCCGCCACGCUUAGCGCGUGGGGAGACAGUGUCAGGUGGGCAGUUUGACUGGGGCGGUCGCCUCCUAAAGAGUAACGGAGGCGCCCAAAGGUUCCCUCAGAAUGGAUGGAAAUCAUUCGCAGAGUGUAAAGGCACAAGGGAGCUUGACUGCGAGACUGACAAGUCGAGCAGGGACGAAAGUCGGGCUUAGUGAUCCGGUGGUUCCGCAUGGAAGGGCCAUCGCUCAACGGAUAAAAGCUACCCCGGGGAUAACAGGCUUAUCUCCCCCAAGAGUCCACAUCGACGGGGAGGUUUGGCACCUCGAUGUCGGCUCGUCGCAUCCUGGGGCUGUAGUCGGUCCCAAGGGUUGGGCUGUUCGCCCAUUAAAGCGGCACGCGAGCUGGGUUCAGAACGUCGUGAGACAGUUCGGUCCCUAUCCGUCGCGGGCGC